Vicugna pacos (alpaca) is the source of this 72-nucleotide non-coding RNA. The record is from the annotation of a RefSeq genome assembly. Lineage: Eukaryota; Metazoa; Chordata; Mammalia; Artiodactyla; Camelidae.
GGGGGUAUAGCUCAAUGGUAGAGUGCAUGCUUGGAGCGCACAAGGUCCUGGGUUCAAUCCCCAGAGCCUCCG